GAAAUUGCGAUGCUUGUUUGUGCUUUUGGUCGUUAUUCAUUGCACGGAGUUUGUCCUCCCAUGCUGAUUUUAUCAACCUUCCCUCGGAUAUUAGGAUUGCGCUGCAAGCGAUGAAGGUGAAAAUGAUCACGAAUUUCGACAUGACUUGGAGAUCAGCCAUAGCCAGAGAAAGUGUGGAAAAGGAAGUUUGAUUUUCUACUUUGAAGUGAGCAAUGAGAAGAAAUAGGUAAGAC
Molecule: long non-coding RNA, 233 nt
Filed under: Eucalyptus grandis
Lineage: Eukaryota; Viridiplantae; Streptophyta; Magnoliopsida; Myrtales; Myrtaceae
Description: long non-coding RNA (EGRA_LNC004794)
Source: RNAcentral